This 159-nucleotide unclassified non-coding RNA is filed under the name uncultured Helotiales. RNAcentral's name for it is "sequence contains ITS1". The record is from RNAcentral. Lineage: Eukaryota; Fungi; Ascomycota; Leotiomycetes; Helotiales.
CAGAGAUCAUGCCCUCACGGGUAGACCUCCCACCCUGUGUUAUUUACAAUUGUUGCUUUGGCAGGCCGCCUUCGGGUGCCUGGCUUCGGCUGGGUUGCGCCUGCCAGAGGACCCCCAACUCUGUGUUUAGUGUUGUCUGAGUAUCAUUUAAUAAAAUUA